UAGGGAAUCUUCGGCAAUGGACGGAAGUCUGACCGAGCAACGCCGCGUGAGUGAAGAAGGUUUUCGGAUCGUAAAGCUCUGUUGUAAGAGAAGAACGAGUGUGAGAGUGGAAAGUUCACACUGUGACGGUAUCUUACCAGAAAGGGACGGCUAACUACGUGCCAGCAGCCGCGGUAAUACGUAGGUCCCGAGCGUUGUCCGGAUUUAUUGGGCGUAAAGCGAGCGCAGGCGGUUAGAUAAGUCUGAAGUUAAAGGCUGUGGCUUAACCAUAGUACGCUUUGGAAACUGUUUAACUUGAGUGCAAGAGGGGAGAGUGGAAUUCCAUGUGUAGCGGUGAAAUGCGUAGAUAUAUGGAGGAACACCGGUGGCGAAAGCGGCUCUCUGGCUUGUAACUGACGCUGAGGCUCGAAAGCGUGGGGAGCAAACAGGAUUAGAUACCCUGGUAGUCCACGCCGUANCGAUGAGUGCUAGGUGUUAGACCCUUUCCGGGGUUUAGUGCCGCAGCUAACGCAUUAAGCACUCCGCCUGGGGAGUAUGACCGCAAGGUU
This 548-nucleotide ribosomal RNA is filed under the name uncultured bacterium. RNAcentral describes it as "bacterial SSU rRNA". It matches the Rfam family "Bacterial small subunit ribosomal RNA", at positions 355 to 895 of the family's 1533-position model. The record is from RNAcentral.